GAUGAACGCUGGCGGCGUGCUUAACACAUGCAAGUCGAACGGAAAGGUCCUGCUUUUUUGGGGUGCUGGAGGGGCGAACGGGUGAGUAGCACGUGGGUAAGCUACACUUGAUUGAGGGGUAACUUAAGGAAGGAUGGGCUAAUAGCGGAAAGGAUAAUCCCCUGUAUGGCGGCGGUUGGACAGUUUCGGCGGUGGGGGAUGGACUCGCGGCUCAUCAGCCCGUUGGUGUGUUAGUGGCUUACCAGGGCAUCGACGGGUAGCCGGCCUGAGAGGGGGACCGGACACAUUGGGGGUGUGAUACGGCCCAGACUCCUCCGCGAGGCGGCGGAGUGGAGUAUUGUACUAUAUGCGGGAGCCUGAUGCGGCGCAGCCGCGCGCGGGAUGAGAAGAUUCGGGUUGUAAACCGCUUUUGCCUGAGACGAGAAGAAAAUGACGGUACCGGAUAAAGAAGCACCGGCUAACUACGUG
This 468-nucleotide ribosomal RNA is filed under the name uncultured bacterium. RNAcentral describes it as "partial 16S ribosomal RNA". It matches the Rfam family "Bacterial small subunit ribosomal RNA", at positions 28 to 507 of the family's 1533-position model. The record is from RNAcentral.